GUGGGGAAUAUUGGACAAUGGGGGGAACCCUGAUCCAGCCAUGCCGCGUGUGUGAAGAAGGCCUUUUGGUUGUAAAGCACUUUAAGCGGGGAGGAGGCUCUUGAGGAUAAUACCCUUGAUGUGUGGACGUUACCCGCAGAAUAAGCACCGGCUAACUCUGUGCCAGCAGCCGCGGUAAUACAGAGGGUGCGAGCGUUAAUCGGAUUUACUGGGCGUAAAGCGUGCGUAGGCGGCUGAAUAAGUCGGAUGUGAAAUCCCCGAGCUUAACUUGGGAAUUGCAUACGAUACUGUUUGGCUAGAGUAUGGGAGAGGAUGGUAGAAUUCCAGGUGUAGCGGUGAAAUGCGUAGAGAUCUGGAGGAAUACCGAUGGCGAAGGCAGCCAUCUGGCCUAAUACUGACGCUGAGGUACGAAAGCAUGGGGAGCAAACAGGAUUAGAUACCCUGGUAGUCC
Molecule: ribosomal RNA, 451 nt
Filed under: uncultured bacterium
Lineage: Bacteria
Description: partial 16S ribosomal RNA
Rfam family: Bacterial small subunit ribosomal RNA
Source: RNAcentral